RNAcentral lists this ribosomal RNA (468 nucleotides) under uncultured bacterium. Its description in RNAcentral is "partial 16S ribosomal RNA". It matches the Rfam family "Bacterial small subunit ribosomal RNA", at positions 28 to 507 of the family's 1533-position model. The record is from RNAcentral.
GACGAACGCUGGCGGCGUGCUUAACACAUGCAAGUCGAACGGAAAGGCCCUGCUUUUGUGGGGUGCUCGAGUGGCGAACGGGUGAGUAACACGUGAGUAACCUGCCCUUGACUUUCGGAUAACUUCAGGAAACUGGGGUUAAUACCGUAUAGGAGCUCCUGCUGCAUGGUGGGGGUUGGAAAGUUUCGGCGGUUGGGGAUGGACUCGCGGCUUAUCAGCUUGUUGGUGGGGUAGUGGCUUACCAAGGCUUUGACGGGUAGCCGGCCUGGGAGGGUGACCGGCCACAUUGGGACUGAGAUACGGCCCAGACUCCUACGGGAGGCAGCGGUGGGGAAUAUUGCACAGUGGGCGGAAGCCUGAUGAAGCAACGCCGCGUGCGGGAUGACGGCCUUCGGGUUGUAAACCGCUUUCGCCUGUGACGAAGCGUGAGUGACGGUAAUGGGUAAAGAAGCACCGGCUAACUACGUG